RNAcentral lists this non-coding RNA (836 nucleotides) under Nanosesarma minutum. Lineage: Eukaryota; Metazoa; Arthropoda; Malacostraca; Decapoda; Sesarmidae. The record is from RNAcentral.
AAAAUGUUUAAUUUUGGCUUGAUUUUUUAAAGAUUUUAUUGAAUUUGUAUGAAAAUUAUUGUGUGAAUAAAUAUUUAAUUAUAUAUUAAAUAUAGUAAAAAAAUAAAAAUAUAAUUAAUAAAUUAUAUAAACUCAGCAUAAAUUUUUAGUGUUAAUUAUAUAAAAAUAUGAACUAGUAAUAAUAUAAUUAAAUCUGAUAAAUAUUUGUGCCAGCAUUCGCGGUUAUACUUAAAGAUUAAAUAAAAAUAUUUAGUAAUUAGUUAAAUAAAGAUUUAUUAAAAAUUAUAAAUAAUAAAAGGUAAAAUUUAAUUGUUAUUAUAUAUAUAAUUUAUUUAAAUUAAGAUUGAAGCUAAAAAGUUUAAUUAUAAACUAGGAUUAGAUACCCUAUUAUUUUAAGAAAAUUAUAAAAACUUAAUUAGUAUUAGAUAUAUACUUAAAAAUUAAAAGAUUUGGCGGUAAUUUAAUCUUUUCAGAGGAAUUUGUUUUUUAAUCGAUAAUCCACGAAAAAUCUUACUUGUGUUUAGUUUAUAUAAAUAAAUUAGUUUGUAUACCAUCAUUAUCAGAUAAUUCUAAAAAGAAAAAUUAUUAAAUAUAAUUGUUUAUUGAAAUUAGAUCAUGGUGCAGCUUAUAACCAAGUUAAAAUGAGUUACAAUAAAUUAUUUUAUAAUGAAUUGAUAAAAGAAUUUUUAUUAUGAAAGAGGAUUUGAUAGUAUUAUAAUUUUAAUAUGUUUAUAAGGUAAUAGCUCUAAAUUAUGUACAUAUUGCCCGUCGCUUUCAUUUAUAAAUGAAAUAAGUCGUAACAUAGUAGAUGUACUGGAAAGUGUAUCUAGAAUUAU